Molecule: unclassified non-coding RNA, 276 nt
Filed under: uncultured fungus
Lineage: Eukaryota; Fungi
Description: partial contains small subunit ribosomal RNA, internal transcribed spacer 1, and 5.8S ribosomal RNA
Rfam family: Eukaryotic small subunit ribosomal RNA (bases 1-73)
Source: RNAcentral
ACAAACUUGGUCAUUUAGAGGAAGUAAAAGUCGUAACAAGGUCUCCGUUGGUGAACCAGCGGAGGGAUCAUUGCAGAGCCACAAGGCCACAAACCUCGCGAACCUACCACUACGUUGCCUCGGCGGGCGGCUCCAGGGGGAGCCUUUGGCCCCCUCGGGGGGUGCCCGCCAAAAGGCCCAAACACUGCCGUAAGAACGAACAUCAGAGUCCCUGCGUAAGCAAUCAAAACUUUCAACAAUGGAUCUCUUGGCUCUGGCAUCGAUGAAGAACGCAGC